Molecule: ribosomal RNA, 386 nt
Filed under: Gephyrocapsa cf. oceanica
Lineage: Eukaryota; Haptophyta; Isochrysidales; Noelaerhabdaceae
Description: partial small subunit ribosomal RNA
Rfam family: Eukaryotic small subunit ribosomal RNA
Source: RNAcentral
AUUCCAGCUCCAAUAGCGUAUAUUAAAGUUGUUGCAGUUAAAACGCUCGUAGUCGGAUUUCGGGGCGGGCCGACCGGUCUGCCGAUGGGUAUGCACUGGCCGGCGCGUCCUUCCACCCGGAGACCGCGCCUACUCUUAACUGAGCGGGCGCGGGAGACGGGUCUUUUACUUUGAAAAAAUCAGAGUGUUUCAAGCAGGCAGUCGCUCUUGCAUGGAUUAGCAUGGGAUAAUGAAAUAGGACUCUGGUGCUAUUUUGUUGGUUGGAGGCCAAGGUAAUGAUUAAUAGGGAUAGUUGGGGGUAUUCAUAUUUAAUUGUCAGAGGUGAAAUUCUUGGAUUUAUUAAAGACUAACUUAUGCGAAAGCAUUUGCCAAGGAUGUUUUCAUUA